This 312-nucleotide ribosomal RNA is filed under the name uncultured Tomentella. RNAcentral's name for it is "eukaryotic LSU rRNA". The record is from RNAcentral. Lineage: Eukaryota; Fungi; Basidiomycota; Agaricomycetes; Thelephorales; Thelephoraceae.
AACGCACCUUGCGCCCCUUGGCUAUUCCGAAGGGCAUGCCUGUUUGAGUAUCAUGAACACCUCAACCCUCGUGGUUUGCCGCGAUGGGCUUGGACUUUGGAGGUUUUGCUGGCUCCUCUGAUCAGCUCCUCUCAAAUGGAUCAGCUUACCAGUGUUUGGUGGCGUCGCAGGUGUGAUAACUAUCUACGCUUGUGGCCGUCCGCCAUGCAACCUUCAGUGAUGGGGGUUCGCUGGAGCUCACAGAUGUCUCCCGAGCGAAGACAGCUUUUCGACGUUCGAUCUCAAAUCAGGUAGGACUACCCGCUGAACUUA